Molecule: transfer RNA, 71 nt
Filed under: Candidatus Woesearchaeota archaeon
Lineage: Archaea; Nanobdellati; Candidatus Woesearchaeota
Description: tRNA-Gly
Rfam family: tRNA
About the family: Transfer RNA (tRNA) molecules are approximately 80 nucleotides in length. Their secondary structure includes four short double-helical elements and three loops (D, anti-codon, and T loops).
Source: RNAcentral
GCGCCCGUGGUUCAAUGGUAGAAUACGACCUUGCCAAGGUUGAGACCCGGGUCCGAUUCCCGGCGGGCGCA